Molecule: long non-coding RNA, 597 nt
Filed under: Setaria viridis
Lineage: Eukaryota; Viridiplantae; Streptophyta; Magnoliopsida; Poales; Poaceae
Description: long non-coding RNA (SVIR_LNC002643)
Source: RNAcentral
GGACGUUUAAUUUCUUGAGCUAAAGUUUUUAUUUCGUGUCAUCGAAUAUUCGAAGACUAAUUAGAAGAACUAAAUAUAAGUUAAUUAUAAAAUUAAUUGUACGGAUGGAGGCUAACGGCGAGACGAAUCUAUCAAGUCUAAUUAAUUAAUUCAUCAUUAGCAAAUGGUUACUGUAGCAGCACAUUAUCAAACCAUGGAUUAAUUAGACUUAAUAGAUUCAUCUCGUUGUUUAGCCUCCAUCUGUGUAAUGGGUUUUGUAAAUAAUUUAUAUUUAAUACUUCUAAUUAGUAUCUAAAUAUUUGAUGUGACGGGAAUAAAAAAUAAGCAACGGGAACAAACCUUAGCCAGCGAUGGAAAUUUAGGUGCCGCCUGUCGACUGUCGGCGGCGCCGAACUCAACAGUGGUUACAUGUUAGUAUUGACUUGCACUGCAUUGCUUCAAUGAUACACGUAGAGUACCCCCAGCAAUCAUGUUUGUCAACGACAUGGCAGACGAGGAGUGAGCAUGUGGUCCGUUCUACUACUCCUACUCUUGUUUAUUGAUAAAUCAGUAUUGUCGUCAGAUUUAUUCCAUCUGCAGCCGAUCGAUGUUCGGUGG